UUUCCGUAGGUGAACCUGCGGAAGGAUCAUUAUCGUGCAACAGAGGCGCGAGGGCUGUCGCUGACUCGAAAAGGUCGUGCACGCUCUCACGCUCUCACGCAUCCAUUUCACCCCUUUGUGCACCACCGCGUGGGUCGUCCUCCCUCCGAGGGCGGGCGGCUUGCGUUUUUACACAAACCCCCUCGUAACGCAGCGUUAGAAUGAUUUACCCUUUGCGGUGACACGCAAUCAAUACAACUUUCAACAACGGAUCUCUUGGCUCUC
RNAcentral lists this unclassified non-coding RNA (264 nucleotides) under root metagenome. RNAcentral describes it as "partial contains small subunit ribosomal RNA, internal transcribed spacer 1, and 5.8S ribosomal RNA". The record is from RNAcentral.